RNAcentral lists this ribosomal RNA (750 nucleotides) under Triticum aestivum (bread wheat). RNAcentral describes it as "partial small subunit ribosomal RNA". The record is from RNAcentral. Lineage: Eukaryota; Viridiplantae; Streptophyta; Magnoliopsida; Poales; Poaceae.
AUGACAGAAAAAAAAAUUGUUCGGCCCAAAAUGUCACGGAUGUGUCUUUUUUUUGUAGUGAAUAUAGGUCGCGUAGUUCAAGUGGGGGAUGGGAUUGCUCAUAUUAUAGGUCUUGGUGAAAUAAUGUCAGGUGAAUUGGUCGAAUUUGCAGAAGGUACUAGGGGUAUUGCUCUGAAUUUGGAACCCAAAAAUGUUGGGAUUGUAUUAAUGGGCGAUGGGUUGAUGAUACAAGAGGGAAGUUUUGUAAAAGCAACAGGAAGAAUUGCUCAGAUACCCGUGAGUGAGGCUUACUUGGGUCGUGUUGUAAAUGCUCUGGCUAAACCUAUUGAUGGGAAAGGCGAAAUUAUAGCUUCCGAAUCUCGCUUAAUUGAACCUGCUCCAAGUAUAAUUUCCAGGCGUUCCAUAUACGAACCUCUUCAAACAGGGCUUAUUGCUAUCGAUUCGAUGAUCCCUAUAGGGCGCGGUCAGCGAGAGUUAAUUAUUGGGGACAGACAGACUGGCAAAACAGCAGUAGCCACAGAUACAAUUCUCAAUCAAAACGGGCAAGGUGUAAUAUCUGUUUAUGUAGCUAUCGGUCAAAGAGCAUCCUCCGUAGCUGAAGUAGUAACUACUUUCCAUGAGGAGGGGGCCAUGGAAUGCACUAUUGUACUAGCUGAAAUGGUGGAUUCACCUGCUACAUUACAAUACCUCGCUCCUUAUACGGGAGCAGCCCUGGCUGAGUAUUUUAUGUACCGCAACGGCAUACUUUAA